This is a non-coding RNA of Massariosphaeria phaeospora, 82 nucleotides long. The record is from the annotation of a GenBank genome assembly. NCBI's taxonomy places the organism in Eukaryota, Fungi, Ascomycota, Dothideomycetes, Pleosporales.
GGUGGUGUGGUCUAGUGGUAUGACGUCACGUUGUGGAACACACAAAUCCGUGCCAGCCUGGGUUCGAUUCCCAGCACCGCCA